AUUUGAUAUAGCUGUGCUGUAGUUACCUAUAUUUUCAGGAAGUUUAAUGUAGGGUGGACCACAUGGACAGCUCCUUAGUGGUCAAUGAAAAUAAGGUCAUUUUCUUCAGCGUCACUAAUGAUCUGUCACAACAUCAGACGUGAGUCUCCAUAUCUUCCUCCUCUGUAGGUUUUUCUGUGUCCUACCAAACACACAUCAGUUUUCUCACAUGACAAUCUAUGUGUGGAGUUCACUUCACUGACGGAAGAAAGUGGAAAAUAUGUCUUUGUCUUAUAUUCUUCUCAUUUAUUCGGUUCCCACUCCCACUAUUGUAUUUUCCUCUGGGUACAUCAAUGUAGCUACACCUGUUACAGUACGCUGUGAGUCACCAAAAGGCACAGAGUGCAAGUUCUACAGAGAUCACCAACCCAACCCUAUAAGAAAACUGGAUUACAAGCAGGGUGCUUGCCAGUUCAAGUUGUUAUGGAAUGAGUUCAAAAAGUGGAACAAGACUGAAGUUGAUCUCAGCUGUGUAAUUCUACAGAAUAGAGAAGAUAAAACGAUCAAAACCUCAAAACCUAGUGAUGCUCGAAGACUUAUAGUGAGUGAUCCAAUUGGAAUGCCCAGUGUUCAUGUGGAGAAGAUCGG
This 627-nucleotide long non-coding RNA is filed under the name Salmo salar (Atlantic salmon). RNAcentral describes it as "lncRNA (ENSSSAG00000071650.2)". The record is from RNAcentral. Lineage: Eukaryota; Metazoa; Chordata; Actinopteri; Salmoniformes; Salmonidae.